GAUGAACGCUAGCGGCAGGCUUAAUACAUGCAAGUCGAGGGGCAGCAUGAUUGUAGCAAUACAAUUGAUGGCGACCGGCAAACGGGUGCGGAACACGUACACAACCUUCCAAUAAGUGGGGAAUAGCCCAGAGAAAUUUGGAUUAAUACCCCGUAACAUAGCGAUGUGGCAUCACAUUGCUAUUAUAGAUUUUUCGCUUAUUGAUGGGUGUGCGGCUGAUUAGAUAGUUGGCGGGGUAACGGCCCACCAAGUCUACGAUCAGUAGCUGAUGUGAGAGCAUGAUCAGCCACACGGGCACUGAGACACGGGCCCGACUCCUACGGGAGGCAGCAGUAAGGAAUAUUGGACAAUGGACGCAAGUCUGAUCCAGCCAUGCCGCGUGAAGGAUUAAGGUCCUCUGGAUUGUAAACUUCUUUUAUAAGGGACGAAAAAAGGCUUUUCUAAGUCGUCUGACGGUACCUUAUGAAUAAGCACCGGCUAACUCCGUGCCAGCAGCCGCGGUAAUACGGAGGGUGCAAGCGUUAUCCGGAUUCACUGGGUUUAAGGGGUGCGUAGGCGGGCAGGUAAGUCAGUGGUGAAAUCCUAGAGCUUAACUCUAGAACUGCCAUUGAUACUAUCUGUCUUGAAUAUUGUGGAGGUAAGCGGAAUAUGUCAUGUAGCGGUGAAAUGCUUAGAUAUGACAUAGAACACCUAUUGCGAAGGCAGCUUACUACGCAUAUAUUGACGCUGAGGCACGAAAGCGUGGGGAUCAAA
Molecule: ribosomal RNA, 753 nt
Filed under: uncultured bacterium
Lineage: Bacteria
Description: bacterial SSU rRNA
Rfam family: Bacterial small subunit ribosomal RNA
Source: RNAcentral